RNAcentral lists this ribosomal RNA (548 nucleotides) under uncultured bacterium. RNAcentral's name for it is "bacterial SSU rRNA". It matches the Rfam family "Bacterial small subunit ribosomal RNA", at positions 355 to 895 of the family's 1533-position model. The record is from RNAcentral.
UAGGGAAUCUUCGGCAAUGGACGGAAGUCUGACCGAGCAACGCCGCGUGAGUGAAGAAGGUUUUCGGAUCGUAAAGCUCUGUUGUAAGAGAAGAACGAGUGUGAAAGUGGAAAGUUCACACUGUGACGGUAUCUUACCAGAAAGGGACGGCUAACUACGUGCCAGCAGCCGCGGUAAUACGUAGGUCCCGAGCGUUGUCCGGAUUUAUUGGGCGUAAAGCGAGCGCAGGCGGUUAGAUAAGUCUGAAGUUAAAGGCUGUGGCUUAACCAUAGUAGGCUUUGGAAACUGUUUAACUUGAGUGCAAGAGGGGAGAGUGGAAUUCCAUGUGUAGCGGUGAAAUGCGUAGAUAUAUGGAGGAACACCGGUGGCGAAAGCGGCUCUCUGGCUUGUAACUGACGCUGAGGCUCGAAAGCGUGGGGAGCAAACAGGAUUAGAUACCCUGGUAGUCCACGCCGUAACGAUGAGUGCUAGGUGUUAGACCCUUUCCGGGGUUUAGUGCCGUAGCUAACGCAUUAAGCACUCCGCCUGGGGAGUACGACCGCAAGGUU